This 382-nucleotide ribosomal RNA is filed under the name uncultured eukaryote. RNAcentral's name for it is "partial 18S ribosomal RNA". It matches the Rfam family "Eukaryotic small subunit ribosomal RNA", at positions 592 to 976 of the family's 1831-position model. The record is from RNAcentral.
UGUAAGCGUAUACCAAAGUUGUUGCAGUUAAAACGCUCGUAGUCGGAAUUUGGCAGUUCCGGAUGUGUGCACGUCGUGUGCGCACUUCGCGGGGAUUGCUUUUGUGGUCUUGCGUACGAUGAGGCACGUUUAUUCGUGAACGUCGUUCCGCAGCCACUCUUUACUGUGAGAAAAUCAAAGUGCUCAAAGCAGGCAUUUGCCGUGAAUGUAUUAGCAUGGAAUAAUAGAAUAGGACUCGGUUCUAUUUUGUUGGUUUGUUGGGGCUGAGUAAUGAUUAAGAGGGACAGUUGGGGGCAUUUGUAUUUCGGCGCUAGAGGUGAAAUUCUUAGAUUGCCGAAAGACAAACUGCUGCGAAAGCGUCUGCCAAGGAUGUUUUCAUUGA